Molecule: long non-coding RNA, 1792 nt
Organism: Numida meleagris (helmeted guineafowl)
Lineage: Eukaryota; Metazoa; Chordata; Aves; Galliformes; Numididae
Exons: 3
Source: RefSeq, a predicted model, not a curated record
AGCUGUUAAGAGAGGCCUUGGAGAGAGACCUUGAAAAAUUGGAGAGCUGGGCAAUCAUCAUCAACAUGAAGUUUAACAAGAGCAGGUGCCAGACUCUGCACCACGAGCAGGGCAGCCAUGGAUAUAGGUACAGACUGGAGGAUAUGAGGAGCAGCUGACUGGUUUGUACAGCCCAGAGAGAAGGAGGCUGGGGGAAGGCCUCAUGGCAGCUGCAGCUCCUCACAGGGAGCGAAGGGGCAGCGCUGAGCUUUGCUCUCUCUGACAGCGACAGGGCCCGAGGGAACUGCAUGGGGCUGUAUCAGGGGAGGGCUGGGUGUUAGGAAGAGGUUCUUCACCAGAAGGCAGUGGGCACGGUACAGGCUCCCCAGGGCAGGGGUCGAGGCCCCAGGUUGCCAGAGUUCAAGGAGCGUUUUGACAGUGCUCUCAGACAUGGGGUAUUUUGGGUCAUCCUGUGUGGAGCAGAAACCCAAAGUUCCCGAAUUUCUGAUAGAACAGCACCACCUGGCGGAUCCCGGCGUGGAGGGGGCUGGCGAGGGGCGUUCUGUUUUAGCUGCUGCAUCUCUCUCAUUACCAUAGAUGGCAGCUAAUAACGAUGAAUAACUACCUCUGGGAGGAUAUUUCUCAGCAUCCAAUUGACAUGCAAGAGCCUCAAAAUAUCAGAUCUUUGGUAUAUUAAAUCAUACAUCUGAAAUAAAUUAUGGAGAAUGAUAAAUAACAGAUCCUCAUUUGAUCUGAUUGUGAAAUGUAGAAGUUGAAUGUGACCUAAAAAUGAUAGGGAAAAAAUAUUAUCAAAGGAGGUUUAGCUCUGGAAUAUACAUGUAAUUCAUAUUUUGUCUGCUCUUUGGAAUAAAUAAACAGCAAAUGUCUCUGCAUGUUGCAUAUGGAUAGCUAUGUAUACAUGUAUAUUCUAGAGUUAAACCUCCUUUAUUAAUACUUUUAAGUACAAGCCCUGAGGGCUUGGGAAACAGUAGUACACGAGCUGUAAGAAGGAGUGAAUGUGCCAGAGCUCUAUUACUUCAUAAGCACUAAAUUUCCUUCGUUAUUUGCAUGGUUCUGGGACCAAAUAUCACUGUAGACAGAGUAAAUGUAUCUUGGAGUUAUUCUUUUGAUUGCAUCUGGAGCAAGAGACUUGAAGCUGCAAAAAACUCUGCCAAAUAUUUUCCUAAUCUUGUUCAUGUAUGUUUUUUCAUUAUUCUUGUAGGUUUCUUUCUCUGAGUUUUUUUCACAGGUUGCAUUGGAAAGAAUAAUGUGUUGGGAGAACAGUACUUAGAAACAUGCUUAAAAAAUUGAGACAAUUUUUUCCACUGAGCAAGUGAUGUACUGAUGAGGAAAAACAUACAUGGAUGCCAAAGAAUUAUAAUAGCAAUGUGAAACAGUAAAAUGGAGCGCUUUCCAGCCCUGUCUAUCUGCAUACUGGUAUCUAUCUUCUGUGAUGGGAAAAGAAGCUCUAAAAAAGCUUAUUUGGAGCCUUUUUCUUUUAAACUCUCUAGCUGAUGAAAUGUUAUAUCUGUCUGAUAUUCAUAGUUUGCUUUGGGAAUUAACUUGAUCUGUAGAAUUGUGUUAGGGAUAUAAGUAAUCUGUUCUGUUUGUCAUACACUUAAAGGGCAAUCUGGAAUUUCUGGGUUGUUCACUGUGUAAACUUUAAUAACAAAUUCAUUUUCUGGCUGAGGUUUUCUGGAAUAAAUUGAAAAAAAAAAAAAAGAAUAUCUCUCGAAAGUGUGCACAGCACCUACUUUGACAGUUUGUUACAAGUCCCUGGGGAAAAAGAAAUAUUCAGAUGACAUAUCAAAUA